AACUAAGGCUCUCGGGGGUUAAACCCGCAACACAAUUGCAAUUUUAGAACCUCAACUGGGGCUCAAGGGGGAGGGGAAAAGAUCAAACCGACUUCACCCUUCGCCACCAGGAAGCUUGGCGUGGAGGAACAAUACACUAUUCUUGCAACACAACACAAACCUAGCUGGGAUCAUCCGCCUACUUGGGGGUAAACUCAGAAGUCCGGCCCGGGCUAGAGCGCUUGGUGUCUGGGAUCCACUCAUGACCUUCUGGACUCCUCCAAAGGCCUGGCGUCACUUCUCCAUCUCUGCCCUCUGUAGCACUCUAAGCUCAGGUAGAUCCACUCCACUGCUGCUGCUGUUCUUGAUUGAUCUUGAACUCAGAGAUCUGCAUGGCUCUGUGUCCUGGGAUUAAAGGUUUCAUCCAUGAUGACCAAAGUUCCAGUGCAUGAGCCAUCUCGAGCACACUCAAACCACACGCACAUCACAGGAGGCUGGACAUUUUACCUAGUGGCCGAGAGCACUGUUCAUCGGAAUGAUAGUUUAAGAAGUCACCACCAAGAAUCGCAAAUAGGACAUUACCCUCCCCACCCAAAAGAAAAGUGCAAAAAUCAUCAAAGAAGAAGGGGCGGUGACAUGAAAAGAGGCUGGCCUUGAGCUUGCUGUGUAGCCUUGAGCUUGCUGUGUAGCAGAGACUGACCCUGUCUUUCUGACGUGCUCCCCACCAUGCUAAGGUGAUGGGAUACUGGGAACAGAACCUGAGCCUCUGCGAAUGCUGAGCGAGCCCUCGACCACCCAAGCUGCAGCCCCAGCCUCUGUGCAUCGGGAGACUUUCCCUUUGAUGUCACAUAAAGUUGGUGGCUCAGUCUACUCAGGUUGCUAUAAUA
Long non-coding RNA from Apodemus sylvaticus (European woodmouse), 866 nucleotides. RefSeq lists it as uncharacterized. Lineage: Eukaryota; Metazoa; Chordata; Mammalia; Rodentia; Muridae. The transcript is spliced from 6 exons. The record is from RefSeq and is a predicted model, not a curated record.